This 1075-nucleotide ribosomal RNA is filed under the name Leifsonia sp. RNAcentral describes it as "bacterial SSU rRNA". It matches the Rfam family "Bacterial small subunit ribosomal RNA", at positions 57 to 1143 of the family's 1533-position model. Lineage: Bacteria; Bacillati; Actinomycetota; Actinomycetes; Micrococcales; Microbacteriaceae. The record is from RNAcentral.
GCAGUCGACGAUGAAGCCGGAGCUUGCUCUGGUGGAUUAGUGGCGAACGGGUGAGUAACACGUGAGUAACCUGCCCUUGACUCUGGAAUAAGCGUUGGAAACGACGUCUAAUACUGGAUACGAGCUUCAGCCGCAUGGCUAGGAGCUGGAAAGAAUUUCGGUCAAGGAUGGACUCGCGGCCUAUCAGGUAGUUGGUGAGGUAAUAGCUCACCAAGCCUACGACGGGUAGCCGGCCUGAGAGGGUGACCGGCCACACUGGAACUGAGACACGGUCCAGACUCCUACGGGAGGCAGCAGUGGGGAAUAUUGCACAAUGGGCGCAAGCCUGAUGCAGCAACGCCGCGUGAGGGACGACGGCCUUCGGGUUGUAAACCUCUUUUAGUAGGGAAGAAGCGAAAGUGACGGUACCUGCAGAAAAAGCACCGGCUAACUACGUGCCAGCAGCCGCGGUAAUACGUAGGGUGCAAGCGUUAUCCGGAAUUAUUGGGCGUAAAGAGCUCGUAGGCGGUUUGUCGCGUCUGCUGUGAAAACUGGGGGCUCAACCCCCAGCCUGCAGUGGGUACGGGCAGACUAGAGUGCGGUAGGGGAGAUUGGAAUUCCUGGUGUAGCGGUGGAAUGCGCAGAUAUCAGGAGGAACACCAAUGGCGAAGGCAGAUCUCUGGGCCGUUACUGACGCUGAGGAGCGAAAGCAUGGGGAGCGAACAGGAUUAGAUACCCUGGUAGUCCAUGCCGUAAACGUUGGGAACUAGAUGUAGGGGCCAUUCCACGGUUUCUGUGUCGCAGCUAACGCAUUAAGUUCCCCGCCUGGGGAGUACGGCCGCAAGGCUAAAACUCAAAGGAAUUGACGGGGGCCCGCACAAGCGGCGGAGCAUGCGGAUUAAUUCGAUGCAACGCGAAGAACCUUACCAAGACUUGACAUAUACGAAAACGGGCUAGAAAUAGUCAACUCUUUGGACACUCGUAAACAGGUGGUGCAUGGUUGUCGUCAGCUCGUGUCGUGAGAUGUUGGGUUAAGUCCCGCAACGAAGGGCAACCCUCGUUCUUUGUUGCCAGCACGUAAUGGUGGGAACUCAAA